CGCUGGCGGCGUGCCUAAUACAUGCAAGUCGAACGCUUCUUUCCUNCCCGAGUGCUUGCACUCAAUUGGAAAGAGGAGUGGCGGACGGGUGAGUAACACGUGGGUAACCUACCCAUCAGAGGGGGAUAACACUUGGAAACAGGUGCUAAUACCGCAUAACAGUUUAUGCCGCAUGGCAUAAGAGUGAAAGGCGCUUUCGGGUGUCGCUGAUGGAUGGACCCGCGGUGCAUUAGCUAGUUGGUGAGGUAACGGCUCACCAAGGCCACGAUGCAUAGCCGACCUGAGAGGGU
Molecule: ribosomal RNA, 290 nt
Filed under: Enterococcus faecalis
Lineage: Bacteria; Bacillati; Bacillota; Bacilli; Lactobacillales; Enterococcaceae
Description: partial 16S rRNA
Rfam family: Bacterial small subunit ribosomal RNA
Source: RNAcentral